This 351-nucleotide unclassified non-coding RNA is filed under the name soil metagenome. Its description in RNAcentral is "partial contains 5.8S ribosomal RNA, internal transcribed spacer 2, and large subunit ribosomal RNA". The stretch from base 1 to 120 matches the Rfam family "5.8S ribosomal RNA", at positions 35 to 154 of the family's 154-position model. The record is from RNAcentral.
GAUGAAGAACGUAGCGAAAUGCGAUAAGUAAUGUGAAUUGCAGAAUUCAGUGAAUCAUCGAAUCUUUGAACGCACAUUGCGCCCGCCAGUAUUCUGGCGGGCAUGCCUGUCUGAGCGUCAUUUCAACCCUCAGCCCCCGCUCGCGGGGCGCUGGCGUUGGGGAUCGGCCGUCCCCGCGGCGGCCGGCCCCGAAACACAGUGGCGGUCUCUCGCGGACUCCCCUGCGUAGUAGCACUACCUCGCAGAAGGGACGAGCGGGCUGACCACGCCGUAAAACCCCCCACUUCUCCAGGUUGACCUCAGAUCAGGUAGGAAUACCCGCUGAACUUAAGCAUAUCAAUAAGCGGAGGA